RNAcentral lists this long non-coding RNA (795 nucleotides) under Aplysia californica (California sea hare). Its description in RNAcentral is "uncharacterized LOC106012125". The record is from RNAcentral. Lineage: Eukaryota; Metazoa; Mollusca; Gastropoda; Aplysiida; Aplysiidae.
AGAUCUAGAUUAGGCACUUGGAUAUCGGCCCGCGCGGCCCGAGAUUUUCGUUCACCUGCGGCCGCCGCGUUUUGUGUCAGAAAUCGGGCCCCGUGAGGGGGGUACCUAUUUGUUUUGUUUCGUUUAUAGUGUUCUUUUCAAUUUAUGGAUUACUUCCGCCUAUCAAAUUAAAGAGGAAAGAAAGGCGCGUAUUAUGGCGUUUUCCACUUCGGGAUCGGUUGUGUGUGUUCGGAGUUACAAGGAGUUAAAAAUAAGCCCCUGAUCACAACCUGCCACUGUUCCAUUGGAUUUAUUGACAGCUCACCAGAAUAAAUCCUGACUUUAAUUAAAAUCCAGAAAUGCUUGCGGAGUUGGUCGAAUUCACAGAAAAACUUGUUUGAACAAGUUGCAAAAAAAUUGAGCACUUAAGAAAGCAUUUGUUGCAGACAAGAAAAAAAAAAUUGACAUUAAUUUAACAAUAUCAAGUUGGCAGACUGGGUGAACUAAACAAUUGCCAGAAAUAAAGAAAGAAUAAAUAAGUAUUGUGACACAAUUGCGUGCUUCAAAAAACAUGUCAUAUUUCACAACUAAUUGUCUUUGAAGAAGUUGAACAUUUAAAUAAACACAAUAAAAAUAUAAUGAAAAACUUGCUGAACAAACUGAAGUAAUAAAAUUAGAAGAGACUAUUGUUUAACUUACAGGGCAAUCUCAUGAGUUAAAGAUGUAAAAGAGAAAUCAAAGAUAAAGACAGAGUAAUUGAUCAUUUACAUGACAAAUUAAAACAUGAAAGAAACAUUCUAACAAUAACAUGCAAAA